This 1572-nucleotide ribosomal RNA is filed under the name uncultured eukaryote. RNAcentral's name for it is "SSU rRNA". It matches the Rfam family "Eukaryotic small subunit ribosomal RNA". The record is from RNAcentral.
UGUGUCCGGCACUUCGUGAGUGCCUGCAGACGGCUCAUUAAAACAGAGACAACCUCCUCUCAGAACUACACGGACAACUAUGCAAAUUGUGUGGCUAAUACGCGGAACGAAUCCACGGAUUGCCCCAAUUAAUCACAGCUCCUAACUUGAUUGUUCAUUGGGUGCUUAGACUUAAAGUCUACUGAGAAUGGGUCUCUGAUCUAUCAGCUGUUGACGGUGGGGUAUUGGCCCACCGUGGCGUUGACGGAUAACGGGGAAUUCGGGUUCGAUUCCGGAGAAAACGCAUGAGACACGGCGUUUACGGCUAAGGCCGGCAGCAGGAGCGAGAACUUUUCGAAUAGGCAUUGCCUGAAAAGGUGACUAACCGUAUCAACAACUGCCAAUGGUGGUUGGUUGAAAUGAGAGACGUUUAGGCCCCGUCUCGAGCAGCAAGUUCAGGGCAAGUCUGGUGCCAGCAGCCGCGGUAAUACCAGCUGAGCUAGAAAUGGGUAACAUUGCUGCAGUAAAAACGUACGUAGUCACUCUCGUUUUGUUUCACGCUCGAAGAGCGCUGAACAUGAACAACCCGCACCAAAUCUUCGGUGCGAACUCCGCGAGUAAAUUAGAAUGAUCAACUCGAAUGUUGAAUAUUUCAGCGCGGGAAAUCUGACGAUGCCUUCGAUUGGAUUGCUGAUCUUAGUCAAAGGGAUACACUGUAAGAAUGAAUGAGGGCACUAGUACUUAGUAGCUAGAGGUGAAAUUCCUAGAUUUACUAAUGACUGACGACUGCGAAAGCAUUUGCCUAAUUCAUUUUUGGUGAUCAAGUACUAAAGAGUGGGGAUCGAAGGGGAUUAGAUACCCUCGUAGUCCACUCCCUAAACGAUGCCGACUAGAGGUUGGUGUAUUGUUACAGAACUUCAUCAGAACCUUAGCAGAUAUGAAAGUCUUUGGGCUCUGGGGGGAGUACGGUCGCAAGGUCGAAACUUAAAGGCAUUGACGGAAUGGCACCACCAGGGGUGGAGCGUGCGGCUUAAUUUGACUCAACGCGGGCGACCUUACCGGGGUAAGACACUGGAAUGAUUGACAGAUUACUUGAUCUUUCUUGAUUUGGUGGGUGGUGGUGCAUGGCCGAUCUUAGUUGGUGGAUUAAUCCGUCUGGUCAAUUCCGAUAACGAACGAGAUCCGAGCUGUUCAGUUGGCUGCUUCUGCUGCGGCAGGCGUACGUCUCCUGAAUGGACUUUCACCGUCAAGGUGAAGGAAGUUUCGGGCUAAAUCAGGUCUGUGAUGCCCUUAGACACUCCGGGCUGCACGCGCGCUACAAUGGGUGGAAGACUGUGUUACUGCUCUCGAAAGGGAGGGUGAAUCACGAAUUCCAACCCGCGAAUGGGAUAGUUCGUUGCAAUUUUCGGACUUGAACUAGGAAUCCCUUGUAAGCAUGCUCGAGUAUAGUAUGCUGAAUACGUCCCUGCCGUUUGUACACACCGCCCGUCGUUUCUUCCGACUGGUACGGAUUGUGAGUUGCAAGGAUCCUUCAUUGGAAAAUUGCCGCGAAUGCUUCGUACUGGAGGAAGAAAAAGUCAUAACAAGGUUGUC